Molecule: ribosomal RNA, 357 nt
Filed under: Triticum aestivum (bread wheat)
Lineage: Eukaryota; Viridiplantae; Streptophyta; Magnoliopsida; Poales; Poaceae
Description: partial small subunit ribosomal RNA
Source: RNAcentral
AUGAGUCCGGCGCCACCCUUCCCUCCCACCCCGAACGGCAACCCCGCGGAAUCGGAGGAGCGACAUGAUGUCGACCGCGGCGAUGGUGCAGGUCGGCGACGUGCCGGACCUGACGGUGCGGAACCACCUGGAGCAGGACACCCUCGAGUGGAUCUUCGUCGGUGGCAUGGGCGGCGUCGGCAAGACCAUCUGCAGCUCCAUCGUCUCCAUCUGCGUCUGCUAGUCCGUGUUCGUCAUCUCCAGCGACCCUGUUCUUCAUCCUCAGGGACGCCUUCCAGCAGUGCUUCACCAAGUUCUUCACCCUCGUCAAGGGCUUCUGCAACCUUUACGCCAAGAUUGCCAAGAAAAAAAAGAUGA